Mya arenaria is the source of this 1040-nucleotide long non-coding RNA. RefSeq lists it as uncharacterized. NCBI's taxonomy places the organism in Eukaryota, Metazoa, Mollusca, Bivalvia, Myida, Myidae. The transcript has 4 exons. The record is from RefSeq and is a predicted model, not a curated record.
CUGCGGUAUUUGUGCAUUUCAAAGAGAAGAUGAAAGUCAAAGCAUACUUUUGGUUUUUAUCAAUGUAUCGUAUAUUGUGGAAAGAUCGAAGUUGCAGAGAGCGGACAACUGCAAAUUGAGACUCUGAAAUAGAGGAAUUAAGGCGAUCAUAGGGGAGAGGAAGCGUGUUUUAAUCAGAUGAUGAUGAAUACAUGUCAGUGAUAACAUCACCAAGGCAUUUGAAGGUGACAGUGGCAAUGAUUGGGCAGUUCUGCAGGCAUCACAACAGUUACUACAAGAUCACCCAACAGUUGCACCGUCUCUACAGAGGCUGUCAUGAAAUUCCGUCGUUUCUCACAACAGAGGUACGAGCGGCAUAUGCCACCUGGAAAAGGACAGCAUCGGACAGAGAUUGUGGAAGGGAAAUAAGGAGGGAAAUGAGGCAGGCGCAAAUAUCUGAGUGCAUCCUUGGAACACCGGGAUGAAAAAACAAAACAAUAUUAUGUUAAAAAUGCUUAAUGUUUAAUGCAGGAGCUUGAUAGUAUUUCAAUGAAAUAACUUUUAUUUCAAGUCUUAUUUUGUUUGUGUAUUUAUACAGUUACAAUCUGUGUGUAUUAUGGCAUGUCUUUGUAUUAUAACUUGUACAUUUUGAUAAUACUGUUCAGGGGUAUUAUCUACAUUCUGUGAUAAUCCAAUUGUUUAAAUAUUUAAAGCAAUGAUAAUAAUAAUAAACAUUUGUAAGAUAAAAUAGCUGCAUGUUUCAACCAGCUGGGAUCAAGAUCAAUGCCACACAUAGAAAUCAAAUGUCAUACAUUAAUUAAUUUGGCAAUUAUUUGUGAUAAUCAACUUUCAACUGUAAUCAACUGUAUGGUCUUGUCAUACAUGAGCGUAUUGUUUCUGGCAAAAUGUGUACCAAGUUUCAUUUAAAUUUUAAGAUUGUGUUUCUUAGUUAUGGCCAAAGUUAGUGUUUUGCACAACAACGCCUACACAGACGACACCUUGGUUUUAUUUUUAGCUCACCAGAGCCCGAAGUGCUAUUGUGAUCGGUCUUUGUCCGGCGU